Molecule: ribosomal RNA, 479 nt
Filed under: uncultured bacterium
Lineage: Bacteria
Description: partial 16S ribosomal RNA
Rfam family: Bacterial small subunit ribosomal RNA
Source: RNAcentral
GGUGAACGCUAGCGGUAGGCCUAACACAUGCAAGCCGAGCGGUAUUUGUUCUUCGGAACAGAGAGAGCGGCGCACGGUUGCGGAACACGGGUGCAACCUGCCUUUAUCUGGUGGAUAGCCUGUCGAAAGGAAGAUUAAUACCCCAUAAUAUAUUGAGGGGCAUCGUUUGAUAUUGAAAACUCCGGUGAAUAGAGGUGGUCACGCGCAAGAUUAGAUAGUUGGUGAGGUAACGGCUCACCAAGUCAAUGAUCUUUAGGUGGCCUGAGAGUGUGAUCCCCCAGAAUGGUAAUGCGACACGGACCAGACUGCUACGGGAGGCAGGAGUGAGGAAUAUUGGACAAUGGGUUAGCGUCUGAUCCAGCCAUCCCGCGUGAAGGACGACGGCCCUAUGGGUUGUAAACUUCUUUUGUAUAGGGAUAACACUACACUAGCGAGAGUAGCUGACGGUACUAUACGAAUAAGCACCGGCUAACUCCGUG